Molecule: ribosomal RNA, 460 nt
Filed under: uncultured bacterium
Lineage: Bacteria
Description: partial 16S ribosomal RNA
Rfam family: Bacterial small subunit ribosomal RNA
Source: RNAcentral
CCUACGGGUGGCAGCAGUGAGGAAUAUUGGUCAAUGGACGAGAGUCUGAACCAGCCAAGUAGCGUGAUGGAUGACUGCCCUAUGGGUUGUAAACUUCUUUUAUAAAGGAAUAAAACGAGGCACGUGUGCCUUUUUGCAUGUACUUUAUGAAUAAGGAUCGGCUAACUACGUGCCAGCAGCCGCGGUAAUACGGAGGGUACUAGCGUUAUCCGGAUUUACUGGGUGUAAAGGGAGCGUAGACGGGUUUGCAAGUCAUGAGUGAACGGUGGGGGCGCAACCGCCGGAUUGCUCUUGAUACUGGGAGGCUGGAGUACAGGAGAGGCAAGCGGAAUUCCUAGUGUAGCGGUGAAAUGCGUAGAUAUUGGGAGGAACACCAGUGGCGAAGGCGGCUUACUGGACUGUAACUGACGUUGAGGCUCGAAAGCGUGGGGAGCAAACAGGAUUAGAUACCCUAGUAGUC